RNAcentral lists this ribosomal RNA (118 nucleotides) under Clostridia bacterium. The record is from RNAcentral. Lineage: Bacteria; Bacillati; Bacillota; Clostridia.
UCUAGUGAUUAUAACUAUUUUGGUAAUACCUGUUCCCAUUCCGAACACAGAAGUCAAGCAGAAUAGUGCCAAAAAUACUUGCGGGUUACCCUGCUGGGAAGAUAGGUUGUCGCUAGAU